GACGAACGCUGGCGGCGUGCUUAACACAUGCAAGUCGAACGGAAAGGCCCUGCUUUUGUGGGUUGCUCGAGUGGCGAACGGGUGAGUAACACGUGAGUAACCUGCCCUUGACUUUGGGAUAACUUCAGGAAACUGGGGCUAAUACCGGAUAGGAGCUCCUGCUGCAUGGUGGGGGUGGGAAAGUUUCGGCGGUUGGGGAUGGACUCGCGGCUUAUCAGCUUGUUGGUGGGGUAGUGGCUUACCAAGGCUUUGACGGGUAGCCGGCCUGAGAGGGUGACCGGCCACAUUGGGACUGAGAUACGGCCCAGACUCCUACGGGAGGCAGCAGUGGGGAAUAUUGCACAAUGGGCGGAAGCCUGAUGCAGCAACGCCGCGUGCGGGAUGACGGCCUUCGGGUUGUAAACCGCUUUCGCCUGUGACGAAGCGUGAGUGACGGUAAUGGGUAAAGAAGCACCGGCUAACUACGUG
RNAcentral lists this ribosomal RNA (468 nucleotides) under uncultured bacterium. Its description in RNAcentral is "partial 16S ribosomal RNA". It matches the Rfam family "Bacterial small subunit ribosomal RNA", at positions 28 to 507 of the family's 1533-position model. The record is from RNAcentral.